This 528-nucleotide ribosomal RNA is filed under the name uncultured bacterium. Its description in RNAcentral is "bacterial SSU rRNA". It matches the Rfam family "Bacterial small subunit ribosomal RNA", at positions 355 to 900 of the family's 1533-position model. The record is from RNAcentral.
UGGGGAAUCUUGGACAAUGGGGGCAACCCUGAUCCAGCCAUGCCGCGUGAGUGAUGAAGGCCUUAGGGUCGUAAAGCUCUUUCGCCUGUGAAGAUAAUGACGGUAGCAGGUAAAGAAACCCCGGCUAACUCCGUGCCAGCAGCCGCGGUAAUACGGAGGGGGUUAGCGUUGUUCGGAAUUACUGGGCGUAAAGCGCACGUAGGCGGACCAGAAAGUUGGGGGUGAAAUCCCGGGGGCUCAACCCCGGAACUGCCUCCAAAACUAUUGGUCUAGAGUUCGAGAGAGGUGAGUGGAAUUCCAAGUGUAGAGGUGAAAUUCGUAGAUAUUUGGAGGAACACCAGUGGCGAAGGCAGCUCACUGGCUCGAUACUGACGCUGAGGUGCGAAAGUGUGGGGAGCAAACAGGAUUAGAUACCCUGGUAGUCCACGCCGUAAACGAUGAGUGCUAGAUGUUGGGAUUUUCGGAUUUCAGUGUCGCAGCUAACGCAUUAAGCACUCCGCCUGGGGGAGUACGGCCGCAGGUUAAAAC